Molecule: long non-coding RNA, 223 nt
Filed under: Vigna radiata
Lineage: Eukaryota; Viridiplantae; Streptophyta; Magnoliopsida; Fabales; Fabaceae
Description: long non-coding RNA (VRAD_LNC012430)
Source: RNAcentral
UUUGGCCGGUUUAAGAGGACCUCCUCACCAUAAAAAGUUUAACAUUUUAGAAUAAAGUUAUUGUGCUUCAACAAUUUUAGAGUGAGUUGAGAAAGUGCUCUUUAAGUGUCUUUUAGUUUUCUUAGUCUUAUUGAACCAAGGGUUUCUUCUCCCCCUCUGCCAUCCCCUUUCUUUUCCAUCUUUGUUUCUUUAUUUCAAGUUUCUAUGUUUUUCUAUGUUUCUG